CAGCCGCCGCGGUAAUACGUAGGGUCCGAGCGUUGUCCGGAAUUAUUGGGCGUAAAGGGCUCGUAGGCGGUUUGUCACGUCGGGAGUGAAAACUCAGGGCUCAACCCUGAGCGUGCUUCCGAUACGGGCAGACUAGAGGUAUGCAGGGGAGAACGGAAUUCCUGGUGUAGCGGUGGAAUGCGCAGAUAUCAGGAGGAACACCGGUGGCGAAGGCGGUUCUCUGGGCAUUACCUGACGCUGGGGAGCGAAAGCAUGGGGAGCGAACAGGAUUAGAGACCCCCGUAGUCCCUGUCUCUUAUAC
Molecule: ribosomal RNA, 301 nt
Filed under: uncultured bacterium
Lineage: Bacteria
Description: partial 16S ribosomal RNA
Rfam family: Bacterial small subunit ribosomal RNA
Source: RNAcentral